UGUCUGCCUCCUGGCGUACGCUCGUUUCUCCGUUGCUAAUGCGGGCGGCGAUCGCUCAGAGCCGGAUUACGGCACGAUUAUGAUCACUAGUUAACAUUUACGGAUUUCUCCCCCACCGGUUCCAGGUAUUGGUUUGUCUCUGCUUUCACCCCCUUGGAAUAUUCCGUCUCUAUUCCCAGGAGGCCCGAGGAAUGUAAUCUUAGAUGCAGACUCAUCUCCAUCAGCCCACCCAGCCCCUUUCAAAAUACGUUUGGAUGUCGUCUUUACUACGAGCUACUCGGUUCUCACUGAAAUCUACAUGGGAAGAGUGUCUGGCAAAACAAAACAAAAAAAUGAUCUUUCCUUGGUUCCCUUAAACAUGUUCCUUGGCGUUUCCUCGAGUUACGGCGUUGGAGAGUAUCUAGGUGCCGUGCAUCGUGGAUCUGUGGGAGAUGAGCCCUUUUGCAUUUUUAUAGGUAUUAAAGAAGAGUAAUGUAUCCUUCCUGUCCCUAUUUAAGGGAAAACAACUGAGCUCACGCCAUCCUCCACUGUUUCCACUUCAUCCAUUAAUAUUCAUACGAUUCAAGCGCUUAGUACAGUGCUCUGCACACAGUAAG
RNAcentral lists this long non-coding RNA (596 nucleotides) under Ornithorhynchus anatinus (platypus). RNAcentral describes it as "lncRNA (ENSOANG00000041301.1)". The record is from RNAcentral. Lineage: Eukaryota; Metazoa; Chordata; Mammalia; Monotremata; Ornithorhynchidae.